Molecule: long non-coding RNA, 8864 nt
Organism: Stegostoma tigrinum
Lineage: Eukaryota; Metazoa; Chordata; Chondrichthyes; Orectolobiformes; Stegostomatidae
Exons: 4
Source: RefSeq, a predicted model, not a curated record
UGAGAAUUCGUCCAACAAAAAGGUCCUCUCUCUCACACGUAGACGUGAAACGACUUAGUUUCUGAGCUCUUGCAGCAGGGGUAGCUGUGUGCAGCGAGAAACUCUUGAAAAGGUUUUUUGGUCCCAUCCACCCUCCCCCUCGGCGAGCAGACAGCAACUGGUCACACUGCACGGCGCUGGGAAGGGCUAAUUAACGUGCAGCCAGCUCGGACACACCUACCACAGAGGCUUUUACCAUCAUCAUCAUCAGCAGCAGCACCGCGGAGAUUUUGGCUCCGAGGAAGCCUGUGCUAGCGGCUAUCGGCUUAAAGACUUUCGGAGCUUUAGUGAUCAUGGAUAGUGACCGUGCCAGCUCGUCACCUCGAGGAUGGGAGGUCUUCGAAAGCUAUUGAUGGAAGAGAAGGAGGUUGGUCGUCUGGACAGUCCAGAAUCAUCCAAUUUGGUGAUUAAGAGAUUGUUAGUUUUCCAAAUGACAUGCAAAUCAAAGUAGACUUGUACGGUGACCAGUGGACUAUGUCACAACAACUUUGAAACAAUAUUCAGAUCACUGGAAAUGACUGCCUGUUCAUAUUACAUGCUGGUUCAACAGCUUGGAAGACUUAGAUGAUUAUUCUGCAGUCCUGUACAAAAAUAAUACCCAGUGCUGUCUCAUAUUCAGUUAUGAAAGAGGAAGAAUUUUUCUGAAGGAGACAGGAAGCCUUGGUGUAAGAUGCUGGAGGGUCUGACAACCAGAAGGAGAAAUCAAAGUGACAAGCUUCAAGCAACCACAUGCCUGUUAUAGGAUGGGUUCAACAGCACCUGCCUGGAAUUGCGACAUGUCUUGAAAUUCAUUCCACUUGUUAUAAUUUAGCAAUAUGAAACAGCAUCAGAAUAUGCCAGUACAAUACAAGGGAUUCCCUUAAAAGUAUACACUUCUGUGUUUCAAGGACAGUCAAGUUGCAUCACUAAUUUCUUUUCCUGAUUGUCAGUUGCAAAAUAACAAUUUCUAAUUAUAGAUACCUUUUCUAAAUAUGUAUUCAGCUGGUACAAUUAAAAAGGAUUUGAUCCCCAUAGUGUGACAUAGAUUAUUCAGUAAUUAUAAAUACUUCAACAGAGACAAUGUUAAUGGUAUUUAAAGUUUUGCAGAUUUCUAAAAACUUUGGAAUAAUCUAGUCCAAAACAUGUAAAUGCCAGAGCCAGUCUAAUAGCAUUACAAAUUCAUCUUUUUUGUCCAUUUCUGAAAGAGCUUUAAUUAGAAUCAGAUAUAUACAGACACACAAACUACAUUUGCAGGAGAAGGCCAGCUGUAGACAAAGAUUUUUAAAUUCUGUGCCAGAUAAGCACAUUGGGUUAGGUAAUCCAUACUAAUGAUAUUCUCAGUGGAUCUGAAUUAAAUAAAGUGUCAAACUACCUUCUUAAUUUAAUUUGAAUUUAAUCCAAAUUAAACAACUUUGAGUUAUCCAACACCAUUUAAUUCAGGUCAGGUUAAAUUUAAGAAGUCUCAAAUCUUGAAGCUUAAUAAUGAAUUAAUUGGAUUUCCCCUGUGCACUGUGUGAAUAUUCAUUAAGCAAACCAUACGUAAUGCAAAUUGUGUGCAAUUAGUGCUUUAAUUUUGAUAUAUAAAUGUAAAGUUCUGCUUUUCAUGAUUUUCAUUUCAUUUUAUUCAGGAUUUGCAGCAAAGGGAACACUAUAUGGACAGUUGCUUGGUAGUCCAGAUGUUUGAAUAUUUUUAAAAAUAUCAUGUUGCUGAAACUUUUUAAUCUUGCCCUCAUAGGACAAAUGCAGAAAUGUCAAAUUUCACCCAAACACAACCGCUUAUAGCAUAGAAUUAUCUUAAAUCUUAAAUAUGGUUCCACAGUUGUGUGGCACUUGAUAUAUAAUCCUAAAUGGUCCAACAGCUACCUUAACCAGUAGAGCUUAUAACAUGGCUCAUUUACAGUUGCUAGAUGUGUCAAACAUCCAAAUGCAGAGAUUGAGUCUCUGCAAACAAAGGGAUAUGAUCAAGGCUUCUGCAAAUUUUCUAACUGAUUGCUACUGCUUUCUCCAUGGCAAUGUGUUGGCCAAUCAGAGUGGACUUGUCAACCAACCAGCAUCCUGUCGUAUCAAUUGUUAUGAUUGUUUUAAAUUUGGUUUUCUUACAAUUUGCCUGAUGAGUGCAGGAUGAAAAUAUUUGGGAACAUGUCUCUCUUUUCAGCAUUAUUGUGAACCACAGACUUUGCACUUUUGCAUUCAAAAAAUUACUUUUCAACAUUUCGUUGAACAUACUUUUCUGAAUAAUGCACUUAUCUUUAAUUUUCUACCAUUUCUCUGAUAAAUGUGAUGAAUGAACAAUUAUGGACAGUGCUCUGAUGCUGGUGGAUUGCUUUAUAAACUAUCUUUAGCAGUGCUACCGUUUAACAUCUUUCACAAGUGUCUAUACACAUUUAGGAUUUGACCCUGAGAUUAUGCAUCUACCAAAUUUGAAAGCAUGAUUCCACCCAGUUCAUUAACUAAAGCUGCUCCCCCACCCAUUAUCUUUUCAGUACAGAGGUUAAGAUUGAAUUUCAGUCUUAUCUUCUCUCAUCUCUGUUCUUGAGAUCAAAAUUAAACUAGAAAGUCUCCUACUCAUUAUUUCUCUACCAAGAUGUCACAACUGUCGAACAGUUCAACCAGCUUAAGACUGUGGUUUAUGACCCAUUGUUUUAGUUGAGGAAUUUAUUUGAACCUGGCAGUUUAUGCAGGAAUAGAAGUAAUUGAGGAAACUUUUAAUUCAGUCCUGAGCCAGAACUCCCAAAUCAAGACUGUCUGAAAAUUAUUGGUUAAUUCCAACUGAUCACUGUGUGCUGGGGAUAGGAAAAGACAGAAAGGAAUAAAUUCACCGGUACCACAUACAUGACAAGUUACUCUCUUGACUGAGUGUUAGCUGCUUCAGGCAGGCUGUUUACACACAUGGGGAACAUUUAGGCAUUUCACAGUUGUACCACCAAAUGUUUUGGGAGUGAACUUGUUUGCUGUUCGAAUUCUUAAACUGGCCAUCGUGACAUACUCAGAACAAACUGAAUGACACCCAAUUUCAGUGUUUUGGUGCAUACCAAUGUAUCUUAUUUCCACUUCCUAUGCAAUAGAGAAGUUCAUGCAGAAGAUAAAGUGAAAUUCAGACUCAUAAGACUUCCUCUCAAGAAAGAUUUGCAUGUGGGCCACUGCCUUGAGGGGUUAUAUAAGGGGUAACAAUGUGAUAAUUCAGUGCAACACAGAAAGCUUCUUUGACAAUUUGUUCUGAAAUAACAGUAGCAUGUGAACAUAGGAAUGGAAAUACUUGUUUUUAUAUUAAGGGCAUCAUAUACCGGACACAUUCAGUGAAUGGGUACACUUAAACAAUUUGAAAUUAAGGUUCAGCUGAAUAUAUAUAUAGUGCUAUCACAUUAGGUUAUGAUGGGAAUGUGUUCCUGUAAUCCCUUAUUACAAACAGUCAGCUGUGGCCCAGCUGGCAGAAUUCUCACUUGUAAGUCAAAAGGCUUAGUCUCACUUGAGAGGACUGGUCACAAAAUCUAGACUGAUGCUCCAAUGCAGUGCUGAGGGAGUGCUAUACAGCCAGAGGUGCCAUAUUUGGGAAAACAUGUCACAUUCAGGUCCUGUGCGUUCUGUAAGGUCGAUGCAGAAGCCAUGUCACCAGUUGAAGAUGAAGAGAUGAGUUGAUAUCUUGGCUGAUAUUUAUCCUUCAAAAAUAGUGCUAAAAGCGACAAACUUGUCAAUCAUCCAUUUUUGUUUGUGGGAUCUUGUUCUGUGCAAAUCAGCAACCACAUUUAGAUUACAACCGUGAGUACACUUCCAAAACAGGGCUGGCCUGGCUAUGUAGGCAAACUAGGCAGUCAUCUGGGGUGGCAGGCUUUGAGGGGGAGGUGCCAAAUUCAGCAUUUCAAAUGUUGAGUAAAUAUACAUUCUCACUUUUCUCUAUAUUGAAGCAUUUGAGUGAGGGGGGGAUUUAAAAGUCAUACUUCACCUGAAGCACCAAAAAUCUGGAGAUGGGCUCGAUUCCAAAGUACUUUACAUCCCAAGAAUGCGAGAAGUACUACUGUACAUGCAAGAAAGCCUUUUCUUCUUAUAUCAUAACACACCAGGAGAGUUAUUUCAAUAAAAUUCUACUUAAUUUCUCAAUUAUUGGGGAAAUUGAACAUGCUUAUUUUCCCAGGAGGAGUUAUAGCAAGAUAGAGAUAAAGUGUUAAUAUGACAACCUAUUUCCUGUUGAACAAACUCCUGUUUGGAUCUGGCUUUGGAACGGAUAACUAAAAUAUCAAAAUGUGUAUUUGUGUAUUAAUUCUUCAUUGUCAUUGAACUGUUUGCUUUGUUGCAUACGUAGAUAUCAGGAUGUUGCACAGUUAUGGACAGAGUCUGCAGCUGGGGAGUGCGUGAUUUCCAAUGUGCACACAGUUACUUGCACCAGGAGAGCUGAAACAGAACUACACCCUUUCAACAAGCCAACAUUUGUGGUUUUCUCUUUUAUAUGCGUCCCAAAAGCAAUAAUUAAUUUUUAUGCUCAGUCACUAAUAGUGCUCAGUGAUUGGGGACUUGGAAACCCGACCAACAAUUCUGUCAUUCAGUUUUCUCUUGUUCUCUUGCAGAAACACUAACAGACAGAAAUUGAACCUGACUGCAUUCAUAUGACUGGCUUCAAACAGAUGCAGUGAUGGUCAAGUUUAGCGUUAACUAUCAUGCACUCUCACAAUGCUUUAAAAAUGCAUACAAUCUGAAAUCAGGCGAGAUAUUCUCUAGAUGGCUGGAAUGAUCAUCUCAAAGAGCCUCCAAGCUUUCAUAUCUGAUAAUGAAGGGUCUAAUGCCUGUUGAGCACACUUCAGGGAAGAAGAAGCAUUCCCAGGUAUUCUAAAUACAGCUACAGCUUAGUUACAAAAACUGUAUGUUUUAUUUUAAUUGAUGUGUAAACUAUCCACAUAUUUUCAGUCAACCCCCAGAAUGUUGAUAGUGCUUGAUGCCACACUUGUUUGAAUGCAGCCUUGAUGUCAAGGACUGCUACUCUCACCUCACCUCUGGAAUUAAGCUCUUUUGUCCACGUUUGAACUAAGACUGUAAUGAGGUCAGGAACUGAAUGGCCCUAAUGGAACCCCAACUGGGUGACACUUAACAGGAUAUUGUUGAGCUGGUACUGUUGAUGACACCUUCCAUGACUUUACUGAUGAUCAAGAGUAGACUGAUAGGUUGGAAAUUAGCUGGAUUUGAUUUGUCCUGCUUUUUAUGUACAGAUCAUACCUGGGCAAUCUUUCACACUGCUGGAUACAAACCAGUGUUGUAACUGUGGUGGAACAGCUUGGCUAGGGGACCGGCAAAUUCUGGAGCACAGGUUUUCAGUACUGUUGCUGGAAUGGUGUCAGGUCCCAUAGCCUUUGCAGAAUCCGGUAUCUCUAACCGUUUCUUGGUAUCACAUGGAGUGAAUCAAAUUGAGAAGCCUCCUCCUCCAGUGAGUUGUUUAAUCAUCCACCGCCAUUCAUGACUGGAUGUGACAGGUCUGCAGAACUUAGAUGUGAUCUGUUGGUUGUGUGGUUGCUUAGCCCUGACCGCUGCCUAUGUGAUUUGGCACGCAAGUAAUCCGUUUGGUAGCUUCGCCGGGAUGACACCUCAUCUUCAGGUAGGCCUGGUGCUGUUCCUGGCAUGCCCUUCUGCACUCUUCAUUGAACCAGGAUUGAUCUCCUGGUUUGAUGAUAAUGUGCGAAUGGGGGAUAUGCUGGGCCAUGAGGUUACAGAUUGUGCUGGAGAACAAUUCUGCUGCUGUUGAUGUCCCACAGCACCUCAUGAAUGUCCAGUCUUGAGUUUUCAGUUCUAUUUGAAGUCUAUCCUAUUUAGCACGGUGAUAAUGCGAUACAACACUUUGGAGGUUAUUCUCAAUGUGAACGUGGGAUCUUGUCUCCACAAGGAUUGUGCAGUGGUCAUUCUUACCGAUACUAUCAGACAGAAACAUCAUGAUUUGGCAGAUUGACAAGGACAAGGUCAAGUAUGAUUUACCUUCUUGUUGGUUCCCUCACCAUCUGCUGCAGACUCAAUCUGGCAGCUAUAUCCUUUAGGACUCAAACAGCUCGAUCUGGGGUACAGCUGCUGAGCCACUCUUGGUGGUAGACAUUGAAAUCGCCCACCCAGAGUACAUUUUUGGUCCUUGCCAUCAUCAGUGCUUCCUCCAAGUGUUGUUCAAAAUGGAGGAGUACUGAUUUAUCAGCUAAGGAAGGACGGUAUUUGGUAAUCAGCAGGAGGUCUCUUUACCCAUGUUUAACCUGAAGCCAGGACACUUCAUGGGGUCCAGAGUCAUUGUGGCAGACUCCCAGGGCAACUCCUUCCUGACAGUACACCACUGUGCUGCCACCUCUGCUGGGUCUGUCCUGCUGGUGGGACAGGACAUUCCAGGGACGAUGAUGGUGGUGUCUGGGACAUUAUCUGUAAGGUACGAUUCCAUGUAUAUGCCUAUGUUAGGCUGUUACUUGACUAGUCUGUGAGACAGCUCUGCCAAUUUUGGCAUGAGCUUACAGAUGUUGGUAAGAAGGAUGAUGCAGGUACAAACAGGGCUGAUUCUGCUGUUGUCUUUUCUGGUGCCAAGGUUGUUGGCAGGUGCUGUGUCUGGUUUCAUUUCUUUGUUGAUACUUUGUAGCGGUUAUUACACCUGAAUUGCUUGCUAGGCCAUUUCAGUGGGACAUUGAGAUUUAACCAUGUUGUUGUGGGUCUAGAAUCACAUGUAGGCCAGACCAGGUAUGGAUGGCAGAUAUUCUUCCCUGAAGGACAUAAGUGAAACAGCUGGGCUUUUCCAACAAUCAGCAAUCGACUUAUGUGCAUAAGUUGUUAAUGGUACUGGGACAGAGGGACAGCACUUACAUUAACCUAGGUGUUAUUGAUGUGGCAGAGAGUACAAAAGCAGAUACGUAAAAGGCACUGAUUAGGCCUCAGUUGGAGCAUUGUGUACAAUUCUAGGACAUGCUACUUUAAGAAGGAUGUGAAUACAUUGGAGAAAGUGCAGUCGAGACUUAUGAGCCUGAUAAGAAUGGCAAUGUGAAUCAUAGAAUCAGUAAUGUGAAACAUAGAAACCCUACAGUGUGGAAGAAGGCCACUUAGCUCAUCGAAUCCAGACCGACCAUCCAAACAUCAUCCCAUUUGGACCCACUCCCCUAAACUAUCACUGUAACUCUGCGUUUUCCAUGGCCAAUGAAUCUAACCUACACAUCUCUUUGGACUGUGGGAGGAAACCAGAACACAUUGGAGGAAACCAGCAAAGACAUGCGGAGAAUGUGCUCAGGUGACUGAGAAACUCAGUCACCUGAGGCUGGAAUCGAACUUGGAUACCUGGCACUGUGAGGCAGCAAUGCUAACCACAGAGCACUGUGCCCUCCCACCCCCAAACAGAUUAAAGAAGUUGGGACUUGUUUUCCUUCAAGAUAAGCAGGUUAAGAAGAGAUUUAAAUAAAGGUUUUAGAAUCAUGAAAGCUCUGGACUUAUUUGUCAGAAAGAAACUGCUCUCAAAGAUGAAGAACUGGAGGACACAGAUUUAAGUGAUUUUUGGAAGAAGUGAAUGCAAGCAGUUCGGGUUUGGAACAUACAGUCUGUGAAUAUUGUGGAGGCAGUUUCAAAAGGUCAUUGAAUUAUGAUUUAAAUAGAAACAAUUUGCAGGAUUAUGGGGAAAAUGUGAGUGAAUAGUCCUCAAUUAUGAAGCUAAUUCAGAGUGCCAUUGCAGACACAAUGGGAUGAAGGUCAUCAUUUGCAUUGUAUAAAAUCUGUAUCACCAGUGAGAAAUAUCUUUGUGUUUUUCUGUUCAAAAUAGCGUGAAAGGAUCUCUUCUGCAUUCAGUUGAGUUUGAAUGUCUCAAUGGAAAUCAUCUCUGACAGUGUAGCACUCACACAGUACUGCAGAGAAGUGUCAUCCUAUCCAAGAGAGUCCAACAUUCAAAAGUGAUUUUUUUAAUAAUCAAAGACAUAUCAAAAACAGCAGAGACUGUUUAAUGCAAGUGAUCAUCACCAAUCUAAACUGUAUCCUGUAUAUUGUCUUCACAGCUGUGGAGCGACAGUUCAAAACUCUCUGUGAACUCAGAAAGUGACCUUUGAAACAGUAGCCAAGUUAUCUCACUAAUGAAUAAACACUCUCCUCCCCACCUGUUGUAAAGAUCUAGGCAGCCCUCAGUGGAAGAGCAAGAGCUGAAAGUUAAAGUCUUCUAACUUUUUUUCAAGUGAGGCUGUCUAGAGAGUGAGACAUGAUUCAUUUGCUGUUUUGUUGUUUGCAAUACAGAGGCAUCAGGGAUUUGCUUGGUAUUGCAAUUUGGGAAGUCAAAAUGACCUUGGUGUGAAAAAAACAGUCUUGAACAUGUUGUUUAUUAUCAACAGCUGCUCUGUUAGUGAUGAAUGUAGAAAUGAAGAAAAUGUUGAAGCAUUGGUUUGAUUUCUGUGUACCAGAGUAAUGUUUGGAACUUAUCAGACAAACACAUGAAAUUGUGCUGAACUGUGGUUUCACAGAAUUUUUAAAAUUCCAUCUCAUUUUCAGUCUUUAAGCGUAUGCUUAAAUCCUAACUUCUUGUUUGCUGUCAGCAGUCACUCGCUGAUGUAUAUGAUUGUCCACCCAGGAAAUUCUGUCUCAAUGGUCAUAGAUUCUGAGUGUCCUUAUGCCAAUGGUAAGCCCAAUCCUACAGUGCAUCUCUGAUAAUACAAUUGUUAGUUAUUCCUGGGAGAUGGAGUUGGUCCUUGGUUUUGAGAUCGGCAAGGAAAAAUCCAACUACCUGCUAAUUUAAAACUUUCCCUGAAAUUUUCAUUUUUAUGUGCUUCAUUCCAAUUAUCAAGAUCAUUUGCAUUUUUUAACAUGACAUAUGACUUUCAAAUAUCAUGUUAUUGAAUGUAGAAGAUGAUCAGUUUCAUGUUUCUGUUCUGUUAUAC